This 331-nucleotide RNase P RNA is filed under the name bovine gut metagenome. Its description in RNAcentral is "Bacterial RNase P class B". It matches the Rfam family "Bacterial RNase P class B". From Rfam's summary of the family: Ribonuclease P (RNase P) is a ubiquitous endoribonuclease, found in archaea, bacteria and eukarya as well as chloroplasts and mitochondria. The record is from RNAcentral.
UAGACAAACGCUGGUAUUUUAUAAUACUUGAGGAAAGUCCAUGCUUGCACAGUCUGCGAUGACUGUAGUGUUCGUUCUUAAGGAAUAAAUAACUUAAGGUAGAGAAAUCUAACGGCGAAAGAUUUGUCUAAGUCUUUUGAUAUGACAUAUUUCGUAAAGUGCCACAGAGACGAAUUUUUAGGAAACUAAAAAACUGAAACGCGGUAAACCCAACGAGCAAGAAACCCAAAUUUUGGUAGGGGAGUUCUAACAAAGGAAUCAAACGGAGUUAGAGACCUGUAAAGGUAGAUAAAUGUUUGUCACUUUUUUAAAGUACAGAACAUGGCUUAUU